RNAcentral lists this ribosomal RNA (253 nucleotides) under uncultured bacterium. RNAcentral's name for it is "partial 16S ribosomal RNA". It matches the Rfam family "Bacterial small subunit ribosomal RNA", at positions 524 to 776 of the family's 1533-position model. The record is from RNAcentral.
UACGUAGGGCGCAAGCGUUAUCCGGAAUUAUUGGGCGUAAAGAGCUCGUAGGCGGUUUGUCGCGUCUGCCGUGAAAGUCCGGGGCUCAACUCCGGAUCUGCGGUGGGUACGGGCAGACUAGAGUGAUGUAGGGGAGACUGGAAUUCCUGGUGUAGCGGUAAAAUGCGCAGAUAUCAGGAGGAACACCGAUGGCGAAGGCAGGUCUCUGGGCAUUAACUGACGCUGAGGAGCGAAAGCAUGGGGAGCGAACAGG